This 3318-nucleotide long non-coding RNA is filed under the name Equus caballus (horse). Its description in RNAcentral is "lncRNA (ENSECAG00000042871.2)". Lineage: Eukaryota; Metazoa; Chordata; Mammalia; Perissodactyla; Equidae. The record is from RNAcentral.
GCCUCAUCUCCUGCCUCUGGUGGCAGCAGGGGCCGGCUGUGGGAGCCUUGACUGCCGGACCGUGGAACCCAGGCUCAGAGCCUCGGGCAGGCUUUAGGCUGGGGAAUGACGGAUCAGAUUUGCGUGUACGAAGAUGCUUUGGAAGAUAAACUAGAGAUGACUCAGAGGGAAGGAGGCUGCUGUGGACUGAGUUGCGCCCCCAUUUGACGGUGGUAUUUGGAGAAAGAGGUGAUCAGGUCAGACGAGCUCAGGAGUGCGGGAUCCCCAGGACGGCAUUAGUGCCUUUGUAAAAGAGACAUCACAGAGAUUGCUUCCUCUCUCCCCUCCACGUGUGGACACAGCACGAGAAGGUGGCGUCUGUAAGCCAGGAAGAGGGCUCACCAGGAACCUGACCACGCCGGCCCCCGGACCACAGACCUCCAGCUUCCAGAACGGUGCAGAGUAAACUCCUGGGUUUAAGCCACCCGUCUGUGGGAUUUAAGGGGCCCCCAGCAGACUAAUGCGGAGGCUGAUUGCAGAGUGACCAUGGGGGCCGUGGCCGACGUCCAGGGAGAGGAGGGAGGGGUCUGUGCCUCGCCAGGCCCUGUGCAUUGGCCCCAUCCCACCGGGAUCUUCCCAGGGCGGCCCAGCACGGCAACUGGCUCACCCAUCUGAACCUGUGAUAACAGGUGCCGACAACGCCACGAAUCCUCACUCUGGACACAAGUCAGGUGACCCCGUCAUCCAGGCGAGCUCCUGGGGUGGGUGGGAAGGCAAGCUGUGAAGUGCAGGCGUGGCUCACACGGCCCAGCGCAGGGGCCCGAGGUGGGUGUUCUGUGCUGACUGCAGCCAGGAAGGCAGAGCACGUGGGCAGAGCCGGCCCCACCCACAGCCUCGGGGCCAGGACAAGCGUCCACGUGGAGGCCCACCGUCCACACGCCCAAUUAGGCCGAGUGAGUCAUCAGGGUGUUACCUUCCAACAGGCUGCUAAAGGAAACACGUUCUCUUCUCCAGCCUCAACAAAGACCCUUCAGAACCUCGUGGAAGGCCGGCUCCCCGGUCAGGAUGCUCAGGCUGCAAGGAAGACCAUCAGGCACUGGGAGAAGGGACGGAGGGCAGCUGGGCCCAGACUCCAGCCCCCCAACCUGCCCACCCCAGGCCCGUCCUACGCUGUGAGGACUUUGUGCCUGUGUGUGCAGACAUCCCAAACUGCAUGUCCAAGCUAUGUCCGUCUUCUCAAAACACGGCCCAUGGACACUUUUCGGUCUCAGGGACACACACUCCUGCAGGCUGGUCUGCCCUCAGUCAGGCCCAGGGAUACAUGCCUGCAGGCUGGUCUGCCCUCCAGAAGACAGACCCAGCUCUAAACCCACAUGGGCCACGGGCUAGGCUUGGGGACAUUUGGUGGGGAAUGCCAGGUCCGAGGUACCUGGAACAUGGCCUAAAACCAAGUGUGAGCUUCAGCAUUGAUUCGCUCAAUGAUGCUACGGUUGGAGAUUUGCUGACAGAUCUGUUGGGAAGAAGAGGCCAUCAUUCUAGAAGCUUCCAGGCCACUGGCUGGCGCUAUCUUCACCCGGUGCCUCUGGAGGUGGUCGGUCAGCACAGGCUAGCUUAUGCCAUGGUAACAAGAGCAUCUCCGACUGCCAGGAGUUUGUCUCUCACUGACACUGUGCCCACCGAGGGUUGACGGGGGUCUCCUCACUGUGGUCACCCAGGGGCCCUUCCUGACAGGCAGCCCCAUCUCCGAUGCUGCCGGCCACCGUGGGAGAGGGAGAGUCUGGGAUCCGAGUGCCUGGGGAGGGGGGCGGGUCACAGAGAAGUUCCAUGAGCAGCGCUGCUGACCACCCAGAGGAUGCUUUUCAGGGUGUGGUCCAUCUGGUGAGGGUUAAGUGACCUCCGGGUGGAGCACGCCCCAAGGAAGGACGCGUGGAAACCACAAAAGGCACGUUGCACUGAAAGGGAGGGAGAGAGUGGCGCUGCCACCAGCUUCUGUGCCCAGGACCCUCCAGAGGUCUGCUGGGGUCCGCAGCACAUGGGCACGCGCCGUCCACCUUGGCUGGCUGGAGAGCAGGGAGUGGGGUGACCGAGACACCUAACCCCACAACACGGAGACAGCAAGUCUGCUCUGUUCCAACAAAUAGAAGGGACUCACAUUCGGUUAAGCCGGGUGACCGAGAGCAGCCAGGAAACACUCCGAGUUACCUGAUUCCCAGAAGAACAUGUGAAAAGUGGCUCGGCCAAAUCAGUGGGAGCCUAGACUGCACGUGUCUGAGGCCUGGUCACUCACGGUGUCGCCGUGCACCCCGAGGCCCCAUCCACAGGAAGAACCAGCCCUUUGGCUCCCGCCUCCUCGAUGCUGACGGGCAAGGCCACCCUCCGCUCUGGCUACAGACCCUCUCUUCCUCACGGCCCGGCCUUGGCUUCCUCUCCAUCUUCUUUUCUUUGCUAAUGUGCCAGGAGACCAUCAUCUGGCCCAUGAUAGGUGCUCCAUUAUUAUCUGUCCAGAUGAAUGGAUCAAGAGUCGGAUACUGGAGACCUGCUGGCAGUGGGGCUGAGACCUGGCUGGAGGGGGAAGGUCCUGCCUGGAUCCUGUCCUGCAGCUUGCUCCCCCACCCUACCCUACUCCCACAGUCCCAGGGGGCUGACCUCUCCUUGCUCCCCGAUCCCUGGCAUGCACUGUGAGGAGCCUAACAGGAAGGAGUGAGGCAGGAAGGCAAAGUUCGGACACCCAGCCUCAGAGGCCAGCUUGGGGCCUCCCUCCCUCUCAUCCCCACCAGCCACCAACCCUUCCCACUGCAACUCAUGCCUGUGCUCUGGCUGCAAGGCCUGCCAAGGCUGCCCUGCACCGCAGCCCCUUCGCCUCCCGCCUGGGCCCUGCUGGGAGGUGGGGGUGAGGUGCCAGGCAUUUCGGCUCAAGCUGGGCAGAGGCCAGGAGGCCCGGCCGCUUGGCACACCAGGAUGCCCGGAUGGUGGUGGAGCCUGGGACGGCAUCAAGGCUGAUGCCACCUCCCCCCCAGUCAGGGCCAGCCCCAGCUCUUCUCUGCCUUGGCGGCUGAGCAAGUGGAGGCCUCGGGCUCCAGCAGGGGGGUGGGGAGGGCAGGACGGCAGCCUCCCCAUCACACUCUCCCUGCUCACCACCUGCUGGCAGUCUGGACGUCCUGAAAAGCCCCUCUGACAUGUCACUCCCUGCUCAGCCUUCAACGACACCCGGCACCCACAGGACACAUCCCCUGUGGCCGCAGAGCCUGCCUCCCUUCCGGACAGGCCCAGAGGCCCCGCCAAGGGGGGCAGACGUGCCUGUACAGUCUCUCCACGCCUGAGGUCACCACUCCAGCGACC